CUGGAGGCAAGAUGGCGGAGUCUAACGAGUGCUUUAAUAUUGGCAGCACAGUAACUUGCAAAACGUGCUUUAAUGAAGACUUGCAGGGCGAAGUAUUAGCCUUUGACCCGCACGUGAAGCUUCUAACGUUGAAGUCCCCGUCCAGCAAUGGCCGUUCAGCGACAUAUGACAUCCACAUGGUCAACCUCAGCUAUGUGUCACAAGUCACAGUAAUGAGAGAAGCUGCUGGUUCACCUCUACCCUCACUGCCAUCUUUAAAUCUCAGUAAGCUUAGUAAUCGGGCAAAGAAAAGUAUAGAUGAAAAACAACGAUUAAUUGAAGCAAUGCAGUCAGGCGUGUCUCCAGUCGGACAGAAGCUGUUCCUUCACAUUCGUAAAACGAUGGAAGAAGUCAAGUGGGCUGGAGUGAGCAUUUUGGUGAUGGGUCAGGUGAUCAUCUCUCCCCCAUACCAGCUGGAGAAUGUCAAGGAGCAAAAGGAAGGCAAGGAAUCCAACUCAAAGACUCUUCCUUACGUCAAGAAACUCGUGGACAAAUUUCAUCAGGAUCAACAGAGCCUGUCCCUUAAUAAUGGAACAAGUGCAACUCCCGUUGUAGCUGAGGUGCAGCCAGUAUCACAGUAAAGAAGUUAGACAACCAAGAACACAGUCUUGUUGCGCAGUGACACCCAUCCACACUUUUCUGUACCAUCUUGUUGAAUCUGAUACACUCCAUUUACCUGGAAGUAGUCAAGGCACUUGCUGGGACCAACAUACUGGCUGAAAGAAAAGUACAACUACAAGCUCUGUCAAUGCAGCAUAUGGAAAUUAUGCAUCAGCUACCCAAGACCCUCUUCCAACUUUUUUUUUUUUUUUUCUUUCCUUGUUUUGAGGAAACUUUUAGUAAUGACUGAAAUGGGAUUUGACUUGAUAGAGAGAAUGAUGUGAGGCUGAAGUUAUCAGGAUGACAAAAAUUAGCUGGCAUAUGUGAAAACUUUUAUUUUAUUAUGAAAUAGAAGAAAAGAGAAGUGUUAAAGACCGAAGGGCACUGAAGCACUCAGGCUUAGUAUACAGAUUACACAGUAGAUGCUCUUUGGUUUAUGCUCUACUGUAUAAUUAGGAGCCCUAGGCCGGGUGAUUCUUUUAUAGAGGUUUGUGCAGGAGAGAUGAGAGUUUAUGUUACUGAUCCUUUUUCUAUCAUGAGAAGUGUGAGUGGCAGGAGAGGAUGAACAGGAAAGCUAUGCAUCUUACUGUUGUAAUUAUUUAUCAUUGUUUCAUAUUGAGUAUAAAACUUUGUUUUCUUAUUGAAUAUAAAUUUUUUAUAGAAGACAAUUGAGACCAUAUAGAUAUUUAAAAAAAAAAAUUUAAAUGAUGCUAAUUUAGUAAAAUGUGGAUCAUAUGUAAUUUAUGACCUGUAAAAACUGUCAAUAAAGACAAAUAUAGAA
RNAcentral lists this unclassified non-coding RNA (1420 nucleotides) under Portunus trituberculatus (swimming crab). Its description in RNAcentral is "protein LSM12 homolog, transcript variant X2". Lineage: Eukaryota; Metazoa; Arthropoda; Malacostraca; Decapoda; Portunidae. The record is from RNAcentral.